AGGUGACUAUAGCAUCAGGGUUCCACCUCUUCCCAUUCCGAACAGAGAAGUUAAGCCUGAUCACGCCGAUGGUACUGCGUAACAGUGGGAGAGUAGGUAGUC
This 102-nucleotide ribosomal RNA is filed under the name Bacteroides fragilis. The record is from RNAcentral. Lineage: Bacteria; Pseudomonadati; Bacteroidota; Bacteroidia; Bacteroidales; Bacteroidaceae.